ACAGAUCUUGGUGGUAGUAGCAAAUAAUCGAAUGAGACCUUGGAGGACUGAAGUGGAGAAGGGUUUCGUGUGAACAGUGGUUGAUCACGAGUUAGUCGGUCCUAAGUUCUAGGCGAAAGCCGAAAAAUUAAAGUAUCAUAUCUUUGUUUAUUAAAUAGAGAAGCAGUACUUUUAAUUGAACGAAAGGGAAUACGGUUCCAAUUCCGUAACCUGUUGAGUAUACGUUUGUUAUUAAAAAUGGGCUUUAUGCUCAUCCUGGCAACAGAAACAACCAUAAAGAAGCCGUCGAGAGGUAUCGGAAGAGUUUUCUUUUCUGUUUUAUAGUCGUACCACCAUGGAAGUCUUUCGAAGAGAGAUAUGGUGGAUGGACUAGAAGAGCAUGGCAUUUACUGCUGUGUCGAUAUUUUCUCCUCGGACCUUGAAAAUUUAUGGUGGGGUCACGCAAACUUCUCAACAGGCCGUACCGAUAUCCGCAGCUGGUCUCCAAGGUGAAGAAUCUCUAGUCGAUAGAAUAAUGUAGGUAAGGGAAGUCGGCAAAUUAGAUCCGUAACUUCGGGAUAAGGAUUGGCUCUGAAGAUUGAGAUAGUCGGGCUUGAUUGGGAAGCAAUAAAAUAGUUUAUAUACUCGUUCUGGGUAAAUAAGGAUAUGUACAAUUUUAACCGAUUGUGCUAUUCUGUUCCCCGGAUAGUUAGUUUAUGUAAACGAAUUGCGGAACUUUCUUGCUAAUAAUUUGUAAAUUUUUAAUUUACAUUUUUAUAACGACUAUCAAUUAACAAUCAAUUCAGAACUGGCACGGACUUGGGGAAUCCGACUGUCUAAUUAAAACAAAGCAUUGUGAUGGCCCUAACGGGUGUUGACACAAUGUGAUUUCUGCCCAGUGCUCUGAAUGUCAAAGUGAAAAAAUUCAAGUAAGCGCGGGUAAACGGCGGGAGUAACUAUGACUCUCUUAAGGUAGCCAAAUGCCUCGUCAUCUAAUUAGUGACGCCCAUGAAUGGAUGGACGAGA
RNAcentral lists this ribosomal RNA (1005 nucleotides) under Symphoromyia hirta. Its description in RNAcentral is "eukaryotic LSU rRNA". It matches the Rfam family "Eukaryotic large subunit ribosomal RNA", at positions 1444 to 2332 of the family's 3401-position model. The record is from RNAcentral. Lineage: Eukaryota; Metazoa; Arthropoda; Insecta; Diptera; Rhagionidae.